Molecule: transfer RNA, 67 nt
Filed under: Mexistrophia reticulata
Lineage: Eukaryota; Metazoa; Mollusca; Gastropoda; Stylommatophora; Cerionidae
Description: tRNA-Phe
Source: RNAcentral
UAAUGUUAUAGCUUAUAAAAAGCAUUACCUUGAAGAGGUAAGUAAAAGAAACUUUCUUUGACAUGAA